GAAACAACCCAGACCGCCAGCUAAGGUCCCAAAGUCAUGGUUAAGUGGGAAACGAUGUGGGAAGGCCCAGACAGCCAGGAUGUUGGCUUAGAAGCAGCCAUCAUUUAAAGAAAGCGUAAUAGCUCACUGGUCGAGUCGGCCUGCGCGGAAGAUGUAACGGGGCUAAACCAUGCACCGAAGCUGCGGCAGCGACACUGUGUGUUGUUGGGUAGGGGAGCGUUCUGUAAGCCUGUGAAGGUGUGUCGUGAGGCAUGCUGGAGGUAUCAGAAGUGCGAAUGCUGACAUAAGUAACGAUAAAGCGGGUGAAAAGCCCGCUCGCCGGAAGACCAAGGGUUCCUGUCCAACGUUAAUCGGGGCAGGGUGAGUCGACCCCUAAGGCGAGGCCGAAAGGCGUAGUCGAUGGGAAACGGGUUAAUAUUCCCGUACUUGGUGUUACUGCGAAGGGGGGACGGAGAAGGCUAUGUUGGCCGGGCGACGGUUGUCCCGGUUUAAGCGUGUAGGUGUGUGUUCCAGGUAAAUCCGGUUCACUUUAACACUGAGGCGUGACGACGAGGCACUACGGUGCUGAAGCAACAAAUGCCCUGCUUCCAGGAAAAGCCUCUAAGCAUCAGGUAACAUCAAAUCGUACCCCAAACCGACACAGGUGGUCAGGUAGAGAAUACCAAGGCGCUUGAGAGAACUCGGGUGAAGGAACUAGGCAAAAUGGUGCCGUAACUUCGGGAGAAGGCACGCUGACACGUAGGUGAAGUGAUUUACUCAUGGAGCUGAAGUCAGUCGAAGAUACCAGCUGGCUGCAACUGUUUAUUAAAAACACAGCACUGUGCAAACACGAAAGUGGACGUAUACGGUGUGACGCCUGCCCGGUGCCGGAAGGUUAAUUGAUGGGGUCAGCGCAAGCGAAGCUCCUGAUCGAAGCCCCGGUAAACGGCGGCCGUAACUAUAACGGUCCUAAGGUAGCGAAAUUCCUUGUCGGGUAAGUUCCGACCUGCACGAAUGGCGUAAUGAUGGCCAGGCUGUCUCCACCCGAGACUCAGUGAAAUUGAACUCGCUGUGAAGAUGCAGUGUACCCGCGGCAAGACGGAAAGACCCCGUGAACCUUUACUAUAGCUUGACACUGAACAUUGAGCCUUGAUGUGUAGGAUAGGUGGGAGGCUUUGAAGUGUGGACGCCAGUCUGCAUGGAGCCGACCUUGAAAUACCACCCUUUAAUGUUUGAUGUUCUAACGUGGACCCGUUACCCGGGUUGCGGACAGUGUCUGGUGGGUAGUUUGACUGGGGCGGUCUCCUCCUAAAGAGUAACGGAGGAGCACGAAGGUUGGCUAAUCCUGGUCGGACAUCAGGAGGUUAGUGCAAUGGCAUAAGCCAGCUUGACUGCGAGCGUGACGGCGCGAGCAGGUGCGAAAGCAGGUCAUAGUGAUCCGGUGGUUCUGAAUGGAAGGGCCAUCGCUCAACGGAUAAAAGGUACUCCGGGGAUAACAGGCUGAUACCGCCCAAGAGUUCAUAUCGACGGCGGUGUUUGGCACCUCGAUGUCGGCUCAUCACAUCCUGGGGCUGAAGUAGGUCCCAAGGGUAUGGCUGUUCGCCAUUUAAAGUGGUACGCGAGCUGGGUUUAGAACGUCGUGAGACAGUUCGGUCCCUAUCUGCCGUGGGCGCUGGAGAACUGAGGGGGGCUGCUCCUAGUACGAGAGGACCGGAGUGGACGCAUCACUGGUGUUCGGGUUGUCAUGCCAAUGGCACUGCCCGGUAGCUAAAUGCGGAAGAGAUAAGUGCUGAAAGCAUCUAAGCACGAAACUUGCCCCGA
This 1800-nucleotide ribosomal RNA is filed under the name Salmonella enterica. Its description in RNAcentral is "partial 23S ribosomal RNA". It matches the Rfam family "Bacterial large subunit ribosomal RNA", at positions 1019 to 2802 of the family's 2925-position model. The record is from RNAcentral. RNAcentral also lists the same sequence under 1 other name. Lineage: Bacteria; Pseudomonadati; Pseudomonadota; Gammaproteobacteria; Enterobacterales; Enterobacteriaceae.